Molecule: ribosomal RNA, 464 nt
Filed under: Vreelandella stevensii
Lineage: Bacteria; Pseudomonadati; Pseudomonadota; Gammaproteobacteria; Oceanospirillales; Halomonadaceae
Description: partial 16S ribosomal RNA
Rfam family: Bacterial small subunit ribosomal RNA
Source: RNAcentral
CCUCGGGCGGCAGCAGUGGGGAAUAUUGGACAAUGGGGGGAACCCUGAUCCAGCCAUGCCGCGUGUGUGAAGAAGGCCCUCGGGUUGUAAAGCACUUUCAGUGAGGAAGAACGCCUGGUGGUUAAUACCCAUCAGGAAAGACAUCACUCACAGAAGAAGCACCGGCUAACUCCGUGCCAGCAGCCGCGGUAAUACGGAGGGUGCGAGCGUUAAUCGGAAUUACUGGGCGUAAAGCGCGCGUAGGUGGCUUGAUAAGCCGGUUGUGAAAGCCCCGGGCUCAACCUGGGAACGGCAUCCGGAACUGUCAAGCUAGAGUGCAGGAGAGGAAGGUAGAAUUCCCGGUGUAGCGGUGAAAUGCGUAGAGAUCGGGAGGAAUACCAGUGGCGAAGGCGGCCUUCUGGACUGACACUGACACUGAGGUGCGAAAGCGUGGGUAGCAAACAGGAUUAGAUACCCUAGUAGUC